RNAcentral lists this ribosomal RNA (463 nucleotides) under uncultured bacterium. RNAcentral describes it as "bacterial SSU rRNA". It matches the Rfam family "Bacterial small subunit ribosomal RNA", at positions 338 to 793 of the family's 1533-position model. The record is from RNAcentral.
CCUACGGGAGGCAGCAGUGGGGAAUUUUGGACAAUGGGCGCAAGCCUGAUCCAGCCAUUCCGCGUGAGUGAAGAAGGCCUUCGGGUUGUAAAGCUCUUUCGCAAGGGAAGAAAACUUAGGCUCUAACAUAGCCUGAGGUUGACGGUACCUUGAUAAGAAGCACCGGCUAACUACGUGCCAGCAGCCGCGGUAAUACGUAGGGUGCGAGCGUUAAUCGGAAUUACUGGGCGUAAAGCGUGCGCAGGCGGUUUUGUAAGUCAGAUGUGAAAUCCCCGAGCUCAACUUGGGAACUGCGUUUGAAACUACAAGACUAGAAUAUGUCAGAGGGGGGUAGAAUUCCACGUGUAGCAGUGAAAUGCGUAGAGAUGUGGAGGAAUACCAAUGGCGAAGGCAGCCCCCUGGGAUAAUAUUGACGCUCAUGCACGAAAGCGUGGGGAGCAAACAGGAUUAGAUACCCUGGUAG